GGAGGGGUGGCAGAGUGGUCGAAUGCACCGGUCUUGAAAACCGGCAUAGGGAAACCUAUCGUGGGUUCGAAUCCCACCCCCUCCG
This 85-nucleotide transfer RNA is filed under the name Roseibacillus sp. RNAcentral describes it as "tRNA-Ser". It matches the Rfam family "tRNA". Rfam says of the family: Transfer RNA (tRNA) molecules are approximately 80 nucleotides in length. Their secondary structure includes four short double-helical elements and three loops (D, anti-codon, and T loops). The record is from RNAcentral. Lineage: Bacteria; Pseudomonadati; Verrucomicrobiota; Verrucomicrobiia; Verrucomicrobiales; Verrucomicrobiaceae. RNAcentral also lists the same sequence under 2 other names.